RNAcentral lists this ribosomal RNA (468 nucleotides) under uncultured bacterium. Its description in RNAcentral is "partial 16S ribosomal RNA". It matches the Rfam family "Bacterial small subunit ribosomal RNA", at positions 28 to 507 of the family's 1533-position model. The record is from RNAcentral.
GACGAACGCUGGCGGCGUGCUUAACACAUGCAAGUCGAACGGAAAGGCCCUGCUUUUGUGGGGUGCUCGAGUGGCGAACGGGUGAGUAACACGUGAGUAACCUGCCCUUGACUUUGGGAUAACUUCAGGAAACUGGGGCUAAUACCGGAUAGGAGCUCCUGCUGCAUGGUGGGGGUUGGAAAGUUUCGGCGGUUGGGGAUGGACUCGCGGCUUAUCAGCUUGUUGGUGGGGUAGUGGCAUACCAAGGCUUUGACGGGUAGCCGGCCUGAGCGGGUGACCGGCCACAUGGGGACUGAGAGACGGCCCAGACUCCUACGGGAGGCAGCAGUGGGGAAUAUUGCACAAUGGGCGGAAGCCUGAUGCAGCAACGCCGCGUGCGGGAUGACGGCCUUCGGGUUGUAAACCGCUUUCGCCUGUGACGAAGCGUGAGUGACGGUAAUGGGUAAAGAAGCACCGGCUAACUACGUG